AUUGAACGCUGGCGGCGUGCUUAACACAUGCAAGUCGAUCGGUAACAGGUGUAGCAAUACAUGCUGACGAGAGGCGGACGGGUGAGUAAUGCUUGGGAAUCUGCCUAUUAGUGGGGGACAACCCGGGGAAACUCGGGCUAAUACCGCAUACGCUCUACGGAGGAAAGCCGGGGACCGCAAGGCCUGGCGCUAAUAGAUGAGCCCAAGUCGGAUUAGCUAGUUGGUAGGGAACGGCCUACCAAGGCGACAAUCCGUAGCUGGUCUGAGAGGACGACCAGCCACACCGGAACUGAGACACGGUCCGGGACUCCUACGGGAGGCAGCAGUGGGGAAUAUUGGACAAUGGGGCAACCCUGAUCCAGCGACGCCGCGUGGGUGAAGAAGGCCUGCGGGUUGUAAAGCCCUUUCGGUGGGGAAGAAAGUCUCGACCUAAUACGUCGGGACCUUGACGUAACCCACUAAAGAAGCACCGGCUAACUCUGUGCC
This 486-nucleotide ribosomal RNA is filed under the name uncultured bacterium. RNAcentral describes it as "bacterial SSU rRNA". It matches the Rfam family "Bacterial small subunit ribosomal RNA", at positions 29 to 509 of the family's 1533-position model. The record is from RNAcentral.